Perca flavescens (yellow perch) is the source of this 2148-nucleotide long non-coding RNA. RefSeq lists it as uncharacterized. Lineage: Eukaryota; Metazoa; Chordata; Actinopteri; Perciformes; Percidae. The transcript is spliced from 3 exons. The record is from RefSeq and is a predicted model, not a curated record.
CAGAGGAGCAGAGUUCUUGGGGAAGGAACUUAAGCUACUGGGUCUCUGCUAAACCUAGUGGUGUUACUCCCAGUACUAUUUUGAGUUUGAAUUACUGUUUUUCGUUGGACAAUUUUUCUGAAACGACUGCUGACAAUAAAACCUCUGUUUGUCUGCAACUACUUUUUGGCUGGUCUCUGCCCUACACCCCACCUGCUGCAAAGACAAACCUCUCAUGGCAUCACACCAGUGUUAUGGCAGAGAAAUUCACCACGAUGCAAAGCAACCCCGACGCAGAAAUCCAAAAGGGUCACGACGCCGUAGGACCGAUGCCGUAGCUACACCGUGGAGUUGACACAGAAGCAUAAAACAGCCUUAAGAGGCACUGUGCCCCGCCCCUUUGUCCUAUGGCGACCUGAGGGAUCCAAUCAACACGGACUUCAACAUAAACUUGGUUAGAGAGUGCGUAAAAGACAUUUUACAGUCCCGGGCAGGGCUCUACAAUAUAGUGUCAUAGUGCUGGGGAUUAAGAAGGCUGCACAGUUGUGGGUAUGUAGGUGUGGCACACCUAUAAUUCCUGUCCCAUAGUUGGUGUAAAAUCCACCACAAGGUCACUGUGGAGACUGUGUCCCAGGGCAGUGGCGAGCAGGAUUAUUCCCUGGCACCAAUCAGUGGCCAUAAACUUUAAUUAAUCUUGACAGGUAACUGCUUGUAGCCUACACCUACCUUGGCCUUUUAGGAGAGAGGAACUAAAAGCAGAGAAGCCGUGCUGGGGUGGAGGUGACAGAGGGCAGUAGAAAAAGUAGGGUAAAGGCUUUUCAACUUCAGCAGCCAAAAAGUUCAGCUGUGAGAGCAAAUUAAAGGGCAGACAAUUCCCUGAAAUAGCCUGCCUCCCAGUCUGGAUCCCUCAAGACCAAAGUGAUGGAUGAAAACUCUUGAAUACGACCCAAAUAUAAGGUCUUGUAAACAUUACCAUUAUCAUUACUGUAAUAGUCAUAUUAUCAGACACUGCAAGGUGGUUGAAAAAAAAGAAAUAUAUGUGCAUUGAUUUAGCCGCAACACACAGAGAGGCAUUGGCUACCGAACCACUGAUGUGAAAACUGCACUCAUCCGAUCAACAGUAAUCUUUUUUUUUUUUUAAUGUAGCCUAAUGUGAAAGAAAGUGAUCACAGAACAAGGAAAACAUAAAAAGCAAAAAAAAGGUUAUAUAUUGUAAGACAGACAUAUACGACAAAAACAAACAGGCUCAAAAUAAACUACAAAACAAAAACACAGACAUAAGGCAAAACAAACAAGGAAUACAACAUAAGUUGAAACUGGUGGGUAUGUAACAAAUGAAAGCAAAAUGGAAGACCAGCAAAACUGUGUAUGCAGAUAAAGGAGUGUCCACCUCCCAUCAAAUUCUCUCCAAAAUCAUAUUUUUGUCAAAAGUCUUAGACCUUACCCAUCAAGCUCACAUGUGCAUAUAGCACAAGCAUAAGAGCACCAUUAGUAGAACUUAGCAAACUCAUUGGCUUACUUUUAAAAUAUUUACUGCAUCAACUCCAGCACUGUUAGGAUCACGUCCUCACUCUCAAAAUAACUCAAAAUAAAAUAACUCAAAAUAACUCUAGUGAUUAUUAGUGUCCAGUGUUUGGCUUGACCGAAUUAAAGUUAAUGAAUACUGGCAAGGUGUAUCCUUUUGUUGAUAUGGUAAGGAUUUCUAGGUUUUGGUGGAUCAUGUAAAGAUUUACAUAUUGAAAUAUUAUGUGACAGAGAAGUCAGGAGAGACCAGGCAGAAGACACAAGACAGAGGGGAAACAGCAGCCAGACAAAAAGAGAGGAGAGUCACGUAUGACUGGUGUGUAAGGAAUGAAUGAAAACAAUAAUACAAGACGUGAUGAACAAAGUGACGUUGUAAUUUCCAGAUUAAGUCUUUCUGUCUGGUAUUUAGGGCUUUCCCUUGCGUCAUGAUGUGUAAAAUGUUGAUUCACUUCUGGUCCCUCCUCAUCGUAACUACACUUGCCCUUUUCACCACACGAGCUGAAUCAAUAGAGGGAUUAUAUCACACAGUGACUCACUCACUUUAUUUUUUGUUGCCAUAUUAGGUGCAAAGUGCCAUCUCUAAUCCUCUUAUUGUACUACUUUGGUGAUUUGCCAAUAAAUGUUUUGUGGCUCUGUGCGCUGACA